AAAUUACGAAGGAGCCGUUCGUAUAGUUUGC
Molecule: small RNA, 31 nt
Filed under: Bombyx mori (domestic silkworm)
Lineage: Eukaryota; Metazoa; Arthropoda; Insecta; Lepidoptera; Bombycidae
Description: ovarian small RNA-10182
Source: RNAcentral